This is a long non-coding RNA of Bombus impatiens (common eastern bumble bee), 1969 nucleotides long. RefSeq lists it as uncharacterized. Lineage: Eukaryota; Metazoa; Arthropoda; Insecta; Hymenoptera; Apidae. The transcript has 2 exons. The record is from RefSeq and is a predicted model, not a curated record.
UGGUGGUGGAGGCGGUGGUGGUGGUGGUAACGGUGGAGGUGGAGGAUGGUCCGGCACUUGAGGAAGCCGGGGCAUCCACGGCGCCGACGCCUGGUUUCGUACCGACCACCAGUCCGGUCGAUAACGCCACGGCAACCCCCGGGUCGUUCCGGUUCUCCUCCUCCUCCUCCUCUUUCCACUUUCCUCCCUCUUUCACCUUCUCUGCCGCUCUUCUGCUCAAUUUUCUCCCUCUUCCAUCUUCCCCGUUUGCUUCUCUUCGACUGCUCCCUAUUCUCCUCCUCUUUUCUCUCUCUUCUUCUUCCUCCUCUUCGAACUGUACCGUCACACUUGCCUCCCACGAUUCUUCUCGACACCAUCUUCGCGUGCUCGUUGAUUCUCUUCCAUCUCCUUCAUCGAGAACGCCGCUUCUCCGCUCUCCUCCUACUUUCGCCUUCUCCUACCUAAGCCACGAUUCCUUUUCGUCCGACGGCAUCUCCCUGUUCCAGAGAAGAGGCUCGUGUUUUCCACCCUCGUCCGUCCAUCCCUCGACGUUGCUCGCCGUUGUUGCUGCCACCCCUGCGUCUUCGUCUCUUUCGCAUGCCAGUCGAGUGCGAGCCGAACCAGACGAAAUACAGAGACGGUCCGCGUAGAAACCAGGGUCAAAAUAGAGACGGUAGAGAUGUUCUCUUUGUCUAAGCUGGCAGCAACAGACAGCCCUCUCUCUCUCUGACUGGAAACGGUGGAACGGUCCACCACGUACGCCUCGAGUCCGUACAACUGCAUUCUCUGAUACUUGGCCUGCGCGAUCAAUUGCACUUUCGAAGAGAAUCACCACCGACGAUCGUCUUCGCACGCAGGCCACGAUUAUUUCCGACUCCGUCUCCGAGUGGAAAAGCGGAUGAGCAUAUCGGAACUUUGACAUCGAUCUUCGAGGAGGAAUUACGUGUUUAUUAAAGGGACGAAAUGACUGGCAGAAUGGUAGAAAGAAGGGAAUAGUUGUUAUCGUGCCAUCGAAUGGAUGGUUCCGAGGAAGGCUAACAAUUUUCCCUGGCUGUUUAUGCGAGCGUUGCGGUGCCGCGUCUUUCGAGUAUUUUAUGGAUUGCAAGAUUAUUUAAGAGAAAAUCAUCGCUAUUUAUAUAAAGUACCGAUGUAACGUUAUCGUAUAACUUUAACACGAUAUCAUCUGUGUUGAGGUUAUCCGAUCGAGGAACGCGUGGAUGAACGCGCGAUAGGAAUACAUUGAAAUAAGUUUAAGUACAGGUAUAAGUACGGCGUAUGCUGAUUCUUUGUCUACUUAUGAAACACGAUAUUUUCUAAGAGGGUAGGUCGCUAAGAGAAAAUGACCAAUUACUAUAGCAUCGACAAAGAUUUUCCUAAUUAUUUUCAUUUAUUCAGCCCCAUCGACUGAAAGCUGCUGAAACCUUUUGCUUUUUUAUUUCGAACGCGUAUCGACGCGAUAUACGUAAUUGCUUGAUCGGAGAAAAGCGUUCGACAAUCUACGGAUUAACCAGAGAUCAAGGCAACAAGACCGAAUAUAAAUAUUUGAACCGAUCGCUCGUAAACUAAAAGUCCCGCGAGAAUUCUGUUCGCUAAGCAACGCGACGUACACGAGGCUCGAUAUACGCGUUAAAUCCGCAUCGACGUUGGAGGAUACGGCUUAAACCGCAAUCAGCGUGAAGUAACGUAGGAAAAUUCAGGACAAGCGAAGCUUUAUCAAGUUUGUGUCUUACGAACGGCCACUCGUUGCUGGAGAACGACGAGAGAGAAUCGCAGAAUUCGAACGCGGUCGAACGUAGCCGGAAAUUGCCUCGUUAUCCUCGACAUCGCGUCACCGUUAUUUACGUUAUUAGGAAUUUUAACGAGCGAAAGCUUACGCUUUCUCCUCGCGUCAGGCCAGCGGCAGGAGAGGAGAAGCUCGGUUACGAGCAACCCCAUUUUUCGUUCUCGACGCGCCGCUUUCUUUCCUCCCCCUUCUUUUAGUUCGCCCCCU